GACGAACGCUGGCGGCGUGCUUAACACAUGCAAGUCGAACGGAAAGGCCUGCUUUCCCUUGUGGAUUGCGGGUACUCGAGUGGCGAACGGGUGAGUAACACGUGAGUGAUCUGCCCCCAACUUGGGUAUAAGCCUGGGAAACUGGGUCUAAUUCCCGAUAGGACUGCAGGGUGGUGCCUGUGGUGGAAAACGAUUUUCUAGUGGUUGGGGAUGAGCUCGCGGCCUAUCAGCUUGUUGGUGGGGUAAUGGCCUACCAAGGCGGCGACGGGUAGCCAGCCUGAGAGGGUGGACGGCCAAAUUGGGACUGGGAUCAGGCCCAGACUCCUACGGGAGGCAGCAGUGGGGAAUAUUGGACAAUGGGCGGAAGCCUGAUGCAGCGAGGCAGCGUGGAGGAUGACGGCCUUCGGGUUGUAAGCUCCUUUCGACCGCGAGGAAGCCACCUGGCUGGAAGGGUGGUGACGGUAGUGGUAGAAGAAGCACCGGCUAACUACGUG
Molecule: ribosomal RNA, 494 nt
Filed under: uncultured bacterium
Lineage: Bacteria
Description: partial 16S ribosomal RNA
Rfam family: Bacterial small subunit ribosomal RNA
Source: RNAcentral